UACAGAGGUGGCAAGCGUUGUCCGGAAUCAUUGGGCGUAAAGAGCGUGUAGGCGGCCCGAUAAGUCCGCCGUGAAAGUCCAGGGCUCAACCCUGGGAUGCCGGUGGAAACUGUCGGGCUAGAGUCCGGAAGAGGCGAGUGGAAUUCCUGGUGUAGCGGUGAAAUGCGCAGAUAUCAGGAGGAACACCAAUGGCGAAGGCAGCUCGCUGGGACGGUACUGACGCUGAGACGCGAAAGCGUGGGGAGCAAACAGG
Molecule: ribosomal RNA, 253 nt
Filed under: uncultured bacterium
Lineage: Bacteria
Description: partial 16S ribosomal RNA
Rfam family: Bacterial small subunit ribosomal RNA
Source: RNAcentral